GACGGGGUCUGUAAUGACCAGCUGCUUUCCGUACUUUUUAACAACCGUUAAAGGCACAGGAGAGUGGAUACACGGCAACCAGGCCCACAUUUACACACACGCCCUCACACUUACGCUCUUGAGUGUGUACGCGCGCGCGUGCGCACCAUGUGCUGUGCCACCUGAAAGCCUUGGUGACAUUUCCCAUCAACCCUCACACCACCUUAGUGUCCUGCUCUUACUUUCUCAGCGAGCACACACCUGUGCUGUCUCCAGCUGCUCUGCCAAGCGCCUCCGUGGUUGCUUUGUUGAGGCCUUCCGGCUGUCUCUGCAGCAUGGCACUCUUGUGAGGGUCUCUCUUUGGCCAGAAAUCUACCGAGUGAACUAGAAUGGCUGGCCAGGGAGCCCCAAGGACCCGCUGUCUCCACCUCCCUUAUGCUGAGGUUUGCAAGUGUGUGCUACUCUGGGGCCUGGGGAUGGGACUCAGACCCUAAACGCUGUGCAGCAAAUAUUUUAUUGGCUGAUCCUUCUCCCCAGCCCCAGAGCCUCCGUCUAAAGUACUUUCCCAGCCCUGAGACACUGAGUGGCCUGUGGGAGGACACAGAACCGACCACCCAGUUCAUCGAUACUGUUCUUCAGCUUGCUCUUUCCCUGAUGCCUCAACUCCCCCUGAAGUAGUCUGUAAAUAAACUUACAGACCAGGGGUCCUGGUGUGGUGACACUGGCCUGACAGUGACACAGUGACAGGUACAUCAGUGAGAGUCCUUCGUGCCUUCUGCUAGUGCUCUCCGACAGCCACCCCAGCCUCCGUCCUUUCACACGCCUCUCCCGGCAGCCCCGGGCAGCAGAGCUGGACGACCGCUGAACACCGCAUCCACACAAGCAGUUUUCCGCCCCCGCUGGGCGCACACCUGAAGUGCGGCACACCGGUCUCCGACCUGGCAUACUCCCGUGAGGAGCUCUGGACCCCACUGCUGUCACUCUGUGGGCUUAGGGUGAUGUUACUUUUAAGUCAGUGUGUUCCACCCGCUGCCGUCUUUAUUCUCUGCAAUGCAGACUGUCCCAGCUUGGGCAGGGGGCCCCUGAACCUGCCCUUCUGACAUGUUCCCACCAAUCUCUACGCAGUCCCUUGCUCUCUGGCACAGAAUGUGCCAGCCCCCAUUUUGUUCUGCUCUGAUUUGAGACCGGCUGUUUCUCCAGGGAGCCCUGACGAUGACAACCUGUUUUUACCGCAGGUACCAUGAGCAACAGGCCUGUGAGGCCUAUUUGCUUGGACGAUGUUCUUUUACUUGGAAGCUCACCAGAGGACCCACUGCUCUGCCUGGACCACCCAAUCCAGAACUGUGGCCGAUGCCUGAGUGGAGCUUCUCAGUCAGUGGGGUUGGGGGGGGUACCCUGACUUAAUGACAUCACUUUCCUGCUGUUUUUGUUCUUUUAAGUGUCACCCAAGGGGACUCGGCUCUGCCUGGGACUAUCAGGAAUUCUGGCUGGCUGCUUUAACAGGGCUUUUACGAUCAAUUCUGCUGGACAGUUUGGGCCCCAAUUCGAUGAUAUUUAUUACUAACUAUAUUCACUUUUACUUGCUAUGAUAUACUUAAUAAACUCACUCAUUCAAAACCCAAAGAAGGGCUAUACAAGCCUCCCAUGGUCCACUGUGAAAGGCUUCUAUACUGAAUCCUACAAACAACAGAGGCAACCUCCCACCAUGGGAGAGACCAGGCUUGCACCCUCAACAACUCUUCAGAUCUCUGAAAAGGGGAUGGGGAAGGAAAAGAGUUGAGCUGCUGACAGUCCACCUAUAGACCUGGUGUCAGAACCCAAAUAAGGAUGGCAAGGAUUAGAAAAACACCCACGGUAGCGUGGGGGUAGGUAUGGCUGGGACUCAGGAGCGGCAGCUAUCUUAGUUGGCACCGGGUGUACUACUACAGAACCAAGAUACUAUUAAUUAAAGAAGAACUUAAAAACAUGAACAAUUAUAGGGGAGUCUUGGAGAGGAGGAAGACAGUCCAUCCAAAAACGUGCAAGGCCGGGCUCCUCCCCUUCACUGGAAAGGAAACCCAAGGGACAGAUUUAGACGGCUGUUAGUUUAGUCCCGAGUGACUGUUUUCAGAUUCAGGUGCAGGAGCCAGAACAGUGAGAGCUGCUGAGAGAGAACAAUGAAUCCCUGGGUGCUGGGGCAGAGCAGCCCUUGAAACCAAAACAAGAUCUAUGCCAGGCCUGCAGUGACCUUCCCAACCCUAAGGAAAGAUGCUCCUGUUUGAAAGACAACUAGAACUUACAUCCAAUUGUGAGAAAUGAAUACAUCUCGUAUUUUAAAGGAGAUCAGAUAUCAAAUGUGCAUACAAAAUUCCACCUCGUGUAUCCAAUGAGGUGUGUGCUGUCACACGCACUCACUCUUCCCUACAAACUCACAGCUCAACAGGUUGAGCUCUGGAUCAACAGGUUGCCAUCUAGUGGCCGCUAAAGGACAAGGGCCAGUGGAGAAAUGGGUUUGUGAUGUUCAACCCAGAGGCCUUUCUGCAAAAUGGCCAUAUUUCCCCAUCAAGUGUGUUACAAAGGAUCAGUCACAAAACUCGGUGAGUGAAACACACUUCUCAGUAGAUUUGCUUUCCCCACAGCGCCUCGAAACCUGCAGCCCUUCACUUAGUCCAAAGCUACUUUUUUUCUAGCCUAUCAGAGUUUUACACAAAAAACUGGCUACCUUCUAGCCCUCCCCAAACUCAAGGUGCUUCUAGGUUGAGCACGAUCCCACUGGGGGAUGCUAAUCUCCGAGGGGGCCUGCUGUUUUUUACCAAAGGUCAGACUGCUACAGUCUAAACCUGAGUCUGCCCCUCCCCCCACCCCAUACAUGCCACCGAUUUGUAUGCUGAAAUCUUAACCUCAAAGGCAAAGCAGUAAAAUAUGAGGCAUCACACCCAGGCUCAAAGGGAAGAAUUAGAUUCAGGAGCUAUUAAUAAUAACAACAACAAAAUAACAGUAAGAAAGGGAGGCUGUGAAGGCAGGAGGGGGAUGGGGUGAGGGUCACUAAGGGAAGGUGGAAAGAGCAGUGAAUGGCCGUGAUCAAAACACACUGUAUAAAUGUUUCAUAAGAUUUUAAGUAAAUAAAAAUAUUAUUUCUAAAUUUUUGAAGGUCAAUUUUGGACUGAGUCAUGAAGGCAAAACUUUUAUAAAUGGGAUUAAUAUCCUUAAAAGAGCAGCCUAAAGAAGCCUGUUUGUCCCAAUCAGCAUGUCAGCACAGAACCAUAAGGCAUCCCUUGACAAUCCAAAUCCAAGCUGUCGCUAGAGACCAAUGCUGCUGGAGCCUCGGCCUAAGUCUUGCCCCCAGAACUGUAAGACACGAGCUUCUGCUAUUUAUAAGCAACUCUGUCUAUGGUUUUUCCUUUGCUAUAGAAAUUAAGAUGAAGUAAAAUGUUUAUCACUGCAUAAAAAUACAGGUUUUUAUCACACACACGAGUUCCGACUUGAAGCUAAAGCCAUUACCUGGGACAGAUUUAAUAAACUGGAGAUGACCAAAACCAGGGGGGAGAAAUCUAAAACAGAAGACAAAACAGCCAGAAAGACAGACCGCUUUCCACUUCAGCGCGUAUAAACAACUUUGAGCUUUCCUACGGACUAGGUAAACGCGGCUUACAAACACAGGCUUCGGUCGGGUCGGCCAGCAGCGUGGUUGCUAUAC
This is a long non-coding RNA of Psammomys obesus (fat sand rat), 3655 nucleotides long. RefSeq lists it as uncharacterized. Lineage: Eukaryota; Metazoa; Chordata; Mammalia; Rodentia; Muridae. The record is from RefSeq and is a predicted model, not a curated record. The transcript is spliced from 3 exons.